UCCCUUGUAGCUCAGUUGGUAAAGAAUCUGCCUGCAGUGCAGGAAACCUGGGUUCGAUUCCUGGGUUGGGAA
Molecule: transfer RNA, 72 nt
Filed under: Capra hircus (goat)
Lineage: Eukaryota; Metazoa; Chordata; Mammalia; Artiodactyla; Bovidae
Also listed under: 1 other name
Rfam family: tRNA
About the family: Transfer RNA (tRNA) molecules are approximately 80 nucleotides in length. Their secondary structure includes four short double-helical elements and three loops (D, anti-codon, and T loops).
Source: Rfam by way of RNAcentral